Molecule: ribosomal RNA, 260 nt
Filed under: uncultured bacterium
Lineage: Bacteria
Description: partial 16S ribosomal RNA
Rfam family: Bacterial small subunit ribosomal RNA
Source: RNAcentral
GUCCACACCGUAAACGAUGAUUACUAGGUGUUGGAGGAUUGACCCCUUCAGUGCCGCAGUUAACACAAUAAGUAAUCCACCUGGGGAGUACGACCGCAAGGUUGAAACUCAAAGGAAUUGACGGGGGCCCGCACAAGCAGUGGAGUAUGUGGUUUAAUUCGACGCAACGCGAAGAACCUUACCAAGUCUUGACAUCCUGCGACGAUGCUAGAAAUAGUAUUUUCCUCGGGACGCAGAGACAGGUGGUGCAUGGUUGUCGU